GCAGAAUAGACCAAACUCGUAAUGAAGAGAGCCAAAGGCCACAUACAUUAAGCAAAAUUUAAUUUUGAAAUUUUAUAAUAUGGCGAAAUCUGAUUUUAUUUUAAAUAUUAUAUUUGAAGUUUUCACUUUUUUCACUCCUUUUUUUCUUAGAAAAAAUUCAAAAACAAUUUCAUUAUAUUCAUGUUCAAGCAUAAUUUUAACUCCAAUUUCAAUUCCCAACUCAAAAAAA
Molecule: long non-coding RNA, 229 nt
Filed under: Capsicum annuum
Lineage: Eukaryota; Viridiplantae; Streptophyta; Magnoliopsida; Solanales; Solanaceae
Description: long non-coding RNA (CANN_LNC003683)
Source: RNAcentral